GUUUUGCUGAAGAGUCCCAACCAAGGUGGACGAAACAGAUGUCCAGUAC
RNAcentral lists this non-coding RNA (49 nucleotides) under Trichobilharzia regenti. Lineage: Eukaryota; Metazoa; Platyhelminthes; Trematoda; Strigeidida; Schistosomatidae. The record is from RNAcentral.